CCUACGGGAGGCAGCAGUGGGGAAUUUUGGACAAUGGGCGAAAGCCUGAUCCAGCCAUUCCGCGUGAGUGAAGAAGGCCUUCGGGUUGUAAAGCUCUUUCGCAAGGGAAGAAAACUUAGUCUCUAACAUAGACUGAGGUUGACGGUACCUUGAUAAGAAGCACCGGCUAACUACGUGCCAGCAGCCGCGGUAAUACGUAGGGUGCGAGCGUUAAUCGGAAUUACUGGGCGUAAAGCGUGCGCAGGCGGUUUUGUAAGUCAGAUGUGAAAUCCCCGAGCUCAACUUGGGAACUGCGUUUGAAACUACAAGACUAGAAUAUGUCAGAGGGGGGUAGAAUUCCACGUGUAGCAGUGAAAUGCGUAGAGAUGUGGAGGAAUACCAAUGGCGAAGGCAGCCCCCUGGGAUAAUAUUGACGCUCAUGCACGAAAGCGUGGGGAGCAAACAGGAUUAGAUACCCUGGUAGUCCACGCCCUAAACGAUGUCUACUAGUUGUUGGUGGAGUAAAAUCCAUGAGUAACGCAGCUAACGCGUGAAGUAGACCGCCUGGGGGAGGACGGUCGCGAGAGUAAACUACGAAGAAGUUAGAGGCGUGAGAGUAGACGACGGACGACGACGAGGGAGGAGG
RNAcentral lists this ribosomal RNA (625 nucleotides) under uncultured bacterium. RNAcentral describes it as "bacterial SSU rRNA". It matches the Rfam family "Bacterial small subunit ribosomal RNA", at positions 338 to 954 of the family's 1533-position model. The record is from RNAcentral.